AAGCCAGUCAAGGAAUCUGCUUACCUUGAUGUGUUUGCAGAAAUUCAGAAAGAGCUGGUAAUAGCACCCAUGUUCCAAGCCUUAAAGACAUUGAGGACACUAAGGUCCCUGAAAGUGGCUGCCAGA
Molecule: small nucleolar RNA, 126 nt
Organism: Talpa occidentalis (Iberian mole)
Lineage: Eukaryota; Metazoa; Chordata; Mammalia; Eulipotyphla; Talpidae
Product: small nucleolar RNA SNORA33
Exons: 1
Source: RefSeq, a predicted model, not a curated record